Molecule: long non-coding RNA, 2093 nt
Organism: Solanum stenotomum
Lineage: Eukaryota; Viridiplantae; Streptophyta; Magnoliopsida; Solanales; Solanaceae
Exons: 2
Source: RefSeq, a predicted model, not a curated record
AAUAAGCAUUUGCAAAUCGCCGUCUAAAACGACCUGACUUCUCUCUCUAUAUAUAUAACCCAUCCAUCCCACCUCUCUUCACUAAUCGCUUGAUUUCUCUGCUACACCGUCGCCGGAUAGCGAAUUUCACGAAAAUUUAACUCUCAAAUUUGAAUCGUGAAGUAAUAUGCUGGCAUUUUCAUUGGUCUGACUGAUAGCUGCCCAAGUAAUGUAUGCUUUGCGUGUAAGCAAGCAUGGGUUCCGCUUGCUGUGUUACUGCUAGAGAUAGAGCUUUUCUAGAUGAAUCAAGCUGCGAAAAUUUGCAGAGAAAUGUUCGCCAAUCUCCUACAUGGAGCUUUCGGUGGGAUAAUCGGGGACGAGUGGCUGGGGAGGAGACGCCAGUGAAUUGGUCUUCCGAUGGAAUUGGUGGCAAUGACGGAUUAGAAUUUAAAUCUGGAACAACUAUAGGAACAGUGUAUGCAUCUGAAGAGGGUAGUCCAUUGGAUAGUUUCAGAUCACUUGCAUGGCAGAAGUCACCAGUUUCUGAAAGAAAUAAUCGAAACUUUUCACUUCCUUUAUUGGGUUAGUACUUGCAUUGCUCUCCCUUUUGCUUUUGUAUGAAACAAACUAAUAAAUACGUAACAACUAGGUGAUUGUGCAAAUUGAAGAGAAAUAAGAUGUCAAGUUCUGAUUGCAAAUGAUGAAUUUGAAUCGCCUUUUCUUUUUCCCUUUUUCAACUUUGUGAAAUAUGAGAAUACCUAAUUGGAUGGCAUAAUGGUGGAUGCUUUGUCAUCCUGUGUGGGAAAUGUGGAGGCAAAACUUUAUCAAAGAUCACGAGUCCUCGUCAGGAAGAACUAAUCAGCUAAUACUAGCAGACCAAAUUCUCACACGAGAGAUGUUCAUUAGGUUUAAAUGUAGAGAAGGGUUAUGUAUAGAGUUGAUUUUAGGUUAAAAACAGGAGGUAGAGAGCACUGAAAUGAAAUAUGUUGCAUGUAUGUGCUUCUCGGAUUUUACAAUUGUUUAGCCAUACAAUGAGCUUCCUUUUUAUUGUGAAUUUUGUUUGGGUGUCAAGUGCUCUACAAGUGAGCUUUGUUGCUUCUGAGAUGUCUAGAUUUGUCAUAGAGAAGAUUGAGCUGCUGGCAGUGGUGAAUGAUGGCUACUCUGUCUUGAUAAGAGGAUAUUAUCAAAUGAUGAAGUUAAGUAGUGGAGGGGGUUGAAAAUAUAGACUAUUUGCAUGUUCUCCAAUUGGGGAGGUGCUAGUAGCUUAAGCUGAAAAUGUAGUUUCUUAUGCUUCUUGUGGUGCUGCUAUGAUCAACUUUUUUAGAUCAUGGAGCAUAUGAAAUAUUUUGUUUGAAAGGUGGUUGUUAAAAUUAAUAGCUACUUGUCACUUGCUUUAUCUAAGGAUAAAGAAUACUUUAAGUUGUCACUUGCUUAAUUAUAGGGUUGUUGGUUGUUACUUUUGAGUUUUCGGGAACAGAAAUAUUAGGUUUUGUUGGAAUGUCCUCUGCUACCCCUUCAAAGUUGAGAUCAAAUAUUUGUUCUCAAAGAAACUCGCAAUCUCCAAGUUUUCUUGUAUGCCUCAUAUAUAUGCCUUGCAUUUGUAUUUUUAUUAGAGUGAAGUAUAACAUUAGUUAAAUAUGAUGAGUACUUUUUCAUUUUCUUGCUUAUGUAGACUGCUAUUUUCCUCAACCUUUAGGAAAUGUCAACCCUACCUCUUUACUCUGAGAAGAUCAAUUGCUAAAGUACACUUCUCCUCUAUUUUGGACCGCCAUUUUUUAGUCAGAAAUUUUUAUGAACAAUGGUCAAUCUUUGUUGAUAUCAAAGAAGCACUAAGUUAAUGCAUCAAAACAUAGUUGCAGUUCACGUUAAGUAGUUACUGUAUCAAUAAUGCCAUUUACAUUCUCUUGCAAGGCUAUCUAUGCCUCCUUUUUUUGCCAUAAAAGUUUCUCUCUAUCCAGUCUAUCCACCAUACAGCCUGAGGAAUAGUGUUCCAACUGUAACUUGCAUUUUUAUUGAGAUCUCUUUUACUCCCAAAUUUUUGAAACUCUACCGUCGAGUUAUGCAUUGACAAGCUAAUUCUCAGGAUGUUUAGAAAAGGACUCCAGAUUUGAGAG